AGUGAACGCUGGCGGUAGGCCUAACACAUGCAAGUCGAACGGCAGCACAGUAAGAGCUUGCUCUUACGGGUGGCGAGUGGCGGACGGGUGCGGAAUACAUCGCAAUCUACUUUUUCGUGGGUGAUAACGUAGGGACUAUUACGCUAUUACCGCAUACGACCUACGGGUGGAAGCAGCGGAUCUUAGGACCUUGCGCGAUUGUAUGAGCCGAUGUCGGAUUAGCUAGUUGGCGGGGUAAAGGCCCACCAAGGCGACGAUCCGUAGCUGGUCUGAGAGGAUGAUCAGCCACACUGGAACUGAGACACGGUCCAGACUCCUACGGGAGGCAGCAGUGGGGAAUAUUGGACAAUGGGCGCAAGCCUGAUCCAGCCAUGCCGCGUGGGUGAAGAAGGUCUUCGGGUUGUAAAGCCCUUUUGUUGGGGAAGAAAAGCAGUAGGUUAAUACCCCGCUGUUCUGACGGUACCCAAAGAAUAAGCACCGGCUAACUUCGUG
This 492-nucleotide ribosomal RNA is filed under the name uncultured bacterium. RNAcentral describes it as "partial 16S ribosomal RNA". It matches the Rfam family "Bacterial small subunit ribosomal RNA", at positions 29 to 507 of the family's 1533-position model. The record is from RNAcentral.